UAGUCGCUCGGUAGCGCAGAGAGCUUGCUUUCAUAUGACGAGUGGCGGACGGGUGAGUAAUGUCUGGGAAACUGCCUGAUGGAGGGGGAUAACUACUGGAAACGGUAGCUAAUACCGCAUAACGUCGCAAGACCAAAGAGGGGGACCUUCGGGCCUCUUGCCAUCAGAUGUGCCCAGAUGGAAUUAGCUAGUAGGUGGGGUAACGGCUCACCUAGGCGACGAUCCCUAGCUGGUCUGAGAGGAUGACCAGCCACACUGGAACUGAGACACGGUCCAGACUCCUACGGGAGGCAGCAGUGGGGAAUAUUGCACAAUGGGCGCAAGCCUGAUGCAGCCAUGCCGCGUGUAUGAAGAAGGCCUUCGGGUUGUAAAGUACUUUCAGCGGGGAGGAAGGUGUUGUGGUUAAUAACCACAGCAAUUGACGUUACCCGCAGAAGAAGCACCGGCUAACUCCGUGCCAGCAGCCGCGGUAAUACGGAGGGUGCAAGCGUUAAUCGGAAUUACUGGGCGUAAAGCGCACGCAGGCGGUCUGUCAAGUCGGAUGUGAAAUCCCCGGGCUCAACCUGGGAACUGCAUUCGAAACUGGCAGGCUAGAGUCUUGUAGAGGGGGGUAGAAUUCCAGGUGUAGCGGUGAGAUGCGUAGAGAUCUGGAGGAAUACCGGUGGCGAAGGCGGCCCCCUGGACAAAGACUGACGCUCACGUGCGAAAGCGUGGGGAGCAAACAGGAUUAUAUACCCUGGUAGUCCACGCCGUAAACGAUGUCUAUUUGGAGGUUGUGCCCUUGAGGCGUGUCUUCCGGAGCUAACGCGUUAAAUCGACCGCCUGGGGAGUACGGCGCAAGGUUAAAACUCUAUGAAUUG
This 860-nucleotide ribosomal RNA is filed under the name Enterobacter ludwigii. RNAcentral describes it as "bacterial SSU rRNA". It matches the Rfam family "Bacterial small subunit ribosomal RNA", at positions 59 to 912 of the family's 1533-position model. Lineage: Bacteria; Pseudomonadati; Pseudomonadota; Gammaproteobacteria; Enterobacterales; Enterobacteriaceae. The record is from RNAcentral.